CGGCGGACGGGUGAGUAACACGUGGGUAACCUGCCCAAGAGACUGGGAUAACACCUGGAAACAGAUGCUAAUACCGGAUAACAACACUAGACGCAUGUCUAGAGUUUGAAAGAUGGUUCUGCUAUCACUCUUGGAUGGACCUGCGGUGCAUUAGCUAGUUGGUAAGGUAACGGCUUACCAAGGCAAUGAUGCAUAGCCGAGUUGAGAGACUGAUCGGCCACAUUGGGACUGAGACACGGCCCAAACUCCUACGGGAGGCAGCAGUAGGGAAUCUUCCACAAUGGACGAAAGUCUGAUGGAGCAACGCCGCGUGAGUGAAGAAGGGUUUCGGCUCGUAAAGCUCUGUUGGUAGUGAAGAAAGAUAGAGGUAGUAACUGGCCUUUAUUUGACGGUAAUUACUUAGAAAGUCACGGCUAACUACGUGCCAGCAGCCGCGGUAAUACGUAGGUGGCAAGCGUUGUCCGGAUUUAUUGGGCGUAAAGCGAGUGCAGGCGGUUCAAUAAGUCUGAUGUGAAAGCCUUCGGCUCAACCGGAGAAUUGCAUCAGAAACUGUUGAACUUGAGUGCAGAAGAGGAGAGUGGAACUCCAUGUGUAGCGGUGGAAUGCGUAGAUAUAUGGAAGAACACCAGUGGCGAAGGCGGCUCUCUGGUCUGCAACUGACGCUGAGGCUCGAAAGCAUGGGUAGCG
RNAcentral lists this ribosomal RNA (687 nucleotides) under uncultured bacterium. RNAcentral's name for it is "bacterial SSU rRNA". It matches the Rfam family "Bacterial small subunit ribosomal RNA", at positions 96 to 770 of the family's 1533-position model. The record is from RNAcentral.